GAGUGCAUGUGACUAACGGAUCUGUUGACUCGAGGUUGUCUAUUGACGUGGAAUUCCACGUCAGUUAAAACUGGGCCCCACAUCAACCUUAUUUAACAUUCAGAAAUUGAUAAAAUUUCAUGUGGGGCCAUGUUUUAACUGGUGUAGAAAUUCCACGUCAGCAAACAACCUUGUGUUAACAGACCCGUUAGUCACGUGCACGC
RNAcentral lists this microRNA precursor (203 nucleotides) under Corchorus capsularis. RNAcentral's name for it is "pre miRNA MIR811". Lineage: Eukaryota; Viridiplantae; Streptophyta; Magnoliopsida; Malvales; Malvaceae. The record is from RNAcentral.